AUCAUUGCAUGCAUGGGUCAAUACGGUGUAUGAAAUUAAGUCUUGCUUGUCGUACCUAAUAAUACGGUAGGCUAAUUAAUUAAUAAGGCGAAGAAUCCUCUGGACUCUUCUCAUUUUGCAGUGCCGAGC
This 129-nucleotide ribosomal RNA is filed under the name Fragilariopsis kerguelensis. RNAcentral describes it as "partial Eukaryotic small subunit ribosomal RNA". The record is from RNAcentral. Lineage: Eukaryota; Bacillariophyta; Bacillariophyceae; Bacillariales; Bacillariaceae.